UACGUAGGGGGCUAGCGUUGUCCGGAAUCAUUGGGCGUAAAGCGCGUGUAGGCGGUCCGGUAAGUCCGCUGUGAAAGUCGGGGGCUCAACCCUCGAAUGCCGGUGGAUACUGUCGGGCUAGAGUGCGGAAGAGGCGAGUGGAAUUCCUGGUGUAGCGGUGAAAUGCGCAGAUAUCAGGAGGAACACCAAUUGCGAAGGCAGCUCACUGGCCCGAUACUGACGCUGAGGAGCGAAAGCCAGGGGAGCAAACGGG
RNAcentral lists this ribosomal RNA (253 nucleotides) under uncultured bacterium. RNAcentral describes it as "partial 16S ribosomal RNA". It matches the Rfam family "Bacterial small subunit ribosomal RNA", at positions 524 to 776 of the family's 1533-position model. The record is from RNAcentral.